ACAACUUUCACAACACAACCAUUCAAUGCUAAGGCUUCCCCGUCUGCGCAGGGUUCCAUACUUCGCCCUUUAACAACACAACCAUUCAAUGCUAAGGCUUCCCCGUCUGCGCAGGGUUCCAUACUUCGCCCUUUAACAACACAACCGUUCAAUGCUAAGGCUUCCCCGUCUGCGCAGGGUUCCAUACUUUGCACUUUAACAACACAACCAUUCAAUGCUAAGGCUUCCCCGUCUGCGCAGGGUUCCAUACUUUGCACUUUAACAACACAAACGUUCAAUGCUAAAGCUUCCCCGUCCGCGCAGGGUUCCAUACUUUGCACUUUAACAACACAACCAUUCAAUGCUAAGGCUUCCCCGUCUGCGCAGGGUUCCAUACUUUGCACUUUAACAACACAAACGUUCAAUGCUCAGGCUUCCCCGUCUGCGCAGGGUUCCAUACUUCGCCCUUUAACAACACAACCAUUCAAUGCUAAAGCUUCCCCGUCUGCGCAGGGUUCCAUACUUUGCACUUUAACAACACAACCGUUCAAUGCUAAGGCUUCCCCGUCUGCGCAGGGUUCCAUACUUCACCCUUUAACAACACAACCGUUCAAUGCUAAGGCUUCCCCGUCUGCGCAGGGUUCCAUACUUCACCCUUUAACAACACAACCGUCCAAUGCUAAGGCUUCCCCGUCUGCGCAGGGUUCCAUACUUUGCACUUUAACAACACAACCGUUCAAUGCUAAGGCUUCCCCGUCUGCGCAGGGUUCCAUACUUUGCACUUUAACAACACAACCGUUCAAUGCUAAGGCUUCCCCGUCUGCGCAGGGCUCCAUACUUCACACUUUAACAACACAACUCCCCAGUCUCUUUCACAGCAAAACAACAUUGCUCCGUCAAAGAAAGAAGGCAAGACAACAGAAGGCCGUCGGAUGCCGCAGUUCAGUCUUUAUUAACCAACAGCACAGAAGCAGCAUUAGCGUUGUGCAAAAGAGCCGCCAUUCGAGAUGCAGGGAAGGUGGGAGCCAUGAAACAAACCAAGUCAAUGAUAUACGUGGAGCAUGA
This 1044-nucleotide long non-coding RNA is filed under the name Anolis carolinensis (green anole). RNAcentral describes it as "lncRNA (ENSACAG00000036848.1)". Lineage: Eukaryota; Metazoa; Chordata; Lepidosauria; Squamata; Anolidae. The record is from RNAcentral.